This 534-nucleotide ribosomal RNA is filed under the name Triticum aestivum (bread wheat). Its description in RNAcentral is "partial small subunit ribosomal RNA". Lineage: Eukaryota; Viridiplantae; Streptophyta; Magnoliopsida; Poales; Poaceae. The record is from RNAcentral.
AUGGCUUGCCAUCUACGGUCGGCGAGCACGCCCUCCAGCCCUCGCUCCAACAACACACAAGUUGAGCAACAGCUCCAGAGCCUCAGCGCAACCAUCUCUUCGCCCUUGGCAACCAUCGAUACGAUGUGCCAUGGUUUGAGGAGGCUGGCAGACAUCUACAGCUGCAUCGACAAGAUGAUGUGCACACCAAGCAGCCAAGCCAGCCUUUGCCACACCCUGCAAAGGGUGGCAGUGGAGGCAGAGCUCGGACGGUCCCUCAUCGUGCUCGAUCUCUGCAACGCCAUGCAGGAGACCUUCAUGGAAUUGAAGAUGACUAUCCAAGAGCUCUUGUUGUCCCUCAAGAGAGGAGACGACGUGUCUGCUCAAGUCAAGGCAUACGCCAGGCUAGCCAAGAAAGCUCAAAAGCAGUUCAAGAAGAUCAGCAAGAAGACUGCUUCCGAUAAGAAUGACUCCAGGGUGGUCAUGCUAAUGGCAGAAGCAAGAGAGAUCACCAUUUCACUGCUUGAAUCCACGUCCUCAGUCUUGUCCAAGUAA